CAAACAGAUGGAGUUUAGGAUUGGUGAAUUCAAAUCAUCAAGCUCACAAACUGGGAGAAGAUGGACUGGGUCUAAGAACAGACUGCAUUGUUGAAGACAAAAUGAAAGGGUAACCUUUAUACACCAGCAUUUCACUGCUAGGAAUUUCCAAACUGAUGAAAACAGUUGGCUGUCCAUCUGGAAAAGCAGGAGCAGCAUGCCUCUGUCUUGCAUGGAGCCAGUCAACUGCAGACCCAGAGCCCUUCAGUAGCUUCCUGCCUCCUUCCAAGUCAUGGAGACUUAUUGACUUCAGAGUGAUUCCGUAAAACUAUUCUGAAGUCAAUGAACCUAAAGGUCUAAAUCGUCAAAUAAUAGAGAAGGUUCUGUAAGUGGUUCUUUGCCACGUGCUUCAAGAGAUAAUAAGACAUCAGUCUUCAGAUGGUUUCCCAAUGACCUAGCACGGUAUGUCUGCAGUAUCUCCAUCAUACAUGAGCCGCAGCCUCUCUGAAGACUAGACUGGAAAGUAAAGGUUAAGAAGAUCACAUCAGGAGCCAAACAUUCUUGGAAGCUGAUGCUUCUCUACAGACUAUUGAUAUUCAAAUCCCACCAAGUGUGUGCCCUAUUUUAACUGGACCACCUCAGUUAAUGAAUGCAUCUGUUAACUUA
Molecule: long non-coding RNA, 645 nt
Organism: Acinonyx jubatus (cheetah)
Lineage: Eukaryota; Metazoa; Chordata; Mammalia; Carnivora; Felidae
Exons: 2
Source: RefSeq, a predicted model, not a curated record